GCCCAGGUGGUGAAAUGGUAGACACACCAUCUUGAGGGGGUGGCGCCGCAAGGCGUGCGGGUUCGAGUCCCGCCCUGGGCACCA
This 84-nucleotide transfer RNA is filed under the name Escherichia coli. RNAcentral's name for it is "tRNA-Leu". It matches the Rfam family "tRNA". Rfam says of the family: Transfer RNA (tRNA) molecules are approximately 80 nucleotides in length. Their secondary structure includes four short double-helical elements and three loops (D, anti-codon, and T loops). The record is from RNAcentral. Lineage: Bacteria; Pseudomonadati; Pseudomonadota; Gammaproteobacteria; Enterobacterales; Enterobacteriaceae.